This 253-nucleotide ribosomal RNA is filed under the name uncultured bacterium. Its description in RNAcentral is "partial 16S ribosomal RNA". It matches the Rfam family "Bacterial small subunit ribosomal RNA", at positions 524 to 776 of the family's 1533-position model. The record is from RNAcentral.
UACGGGGGGGGCUAGCGUUGUUCGGAAUUACUGGGCGUAAAGGGCUCGUAGGCUGCCAACUAAGUCAGACGUGAAAUCCCUCGGCUUAACCGGGGAACUGCGUCUGAUACUGGAUGGCUUGAGAUCGGGAGAGGGAUGCGGAAUUCCAGGUGUAGCGGUGAAAUGCGUAGAUAUCUGGAGGAACACCGGUGGCGAAGGCGGCAUCCUGGACCGACACUGACGCUGAGGAGCGAAAGCCAGGGGAGCAAACGGG